Molecule: ribosomal RNA, 253 nt
Filed under: uncultured bacterium
Lineage: Bacteria
Description: partial 16S ribosomal RNA
Rfam family: Bacterial small subunit ribosomal RNA
Source: RNAcentral
UACGAAGGGUGCAAGCGUUAAUCGGAAUUACUGGGCGUAAAGCGUGCGUAGGCGGUGGUUUAAGUCUGCUGUGAAAGCCCUGGGCUCAACCUGGGAAUUGCAGUGGAUACUGGAUCACUAGAGUGUGGUAGAGGGAUGCGGAAUUUCUGGUGUAGCAGUGAAAUGCGUAGAGAUCAGAAGGAACAUCCGUGGCGAAGGCGGCAUCCUGGGCCAACACUGACACUGAGGCACGAAAGCGUGGGGAGCAAACAGG